This is a long non-coding RNA of Lagenorhynchus albirostris (white-beaked dolphin), 206 nucleotides long. RefSeq lists it as uncharacterized. The record is from RefSeq and is a predicted model, not a curated record. Lineage: Eukaryota; Metazoa; Chordata; Mammalia; Artiodactyla; Delphinidae. The transcript has 3 exons.
AGGGACUCCAGCCAUAUCGCGACUGAUCAGGCUAAGUGACAUGCAACGAAGCAGGCAGUAACUCUUCUUGCCCGUUCACUCGAUGCCAGCCCCUGGAUGCCAGGUGUUGUACUGUACUACUGUACUUUUCAAGAGUGGCUGCACCAUGUUGCACUUCCAUCAGCCAUGAAUGAGAGUUCCUGUUGCUCCACAUCCUCACCAGCAUU